This 30-nucleotide non-coding RNA is filed under the name Mus musculus (house mouse). The record is from RNAcentral. Lineage: Eukaryota; Metazoa; Chordata; Mammalia; Rodentia; Muridae.
UGACAAUCUAACUCAGCCUAUGACUUCAAC